This 423-nucleotide ribosomal RNA is filed under the name uncultured soil bacterium. Its description in RNAcentral is "bacterial SSU rRNA". It matches the Rfam family "Bacterial small subunit ribosomal RNA", at positions 26 to 464 of the family's 1533-position model. The record is from RNAcentral.
AGAUUGAACGCUGGCGGCAUGCCUAACACAUGCAAGUCGAACGGGAGUAGCAAUACUCUAGUGGCGGACGGGUGAGGAAUACGUAGGAAUUUGCCCUUAAGUGGGGGAUAACCCGGGGAAACCCGGAUUAAUACCGCAUGACCUCGAAAGAGCAAAGUGGGGGAUCGCAAGACCUCACGCUUUUGGAGAAGCCUACGUCGGAUUAGCUAGUUGGUGAGGUAAUGGCUCACCAAGGCGACGAUCCGUAACUGGUCUGAGAGGAUGAUCAGUCACACCGGAACUGAGACGACGGUCCGGACUCCUACGGGAGGCAGCGAGUGGGGAAUAGUUGGACAAGUGGGCGCAAGCCUGAUCCAGCAAUGCGCGUGUGUGAAGAGCUUCGGUGUAAGAGUACUUAGUAGGUAAGAAACUACGACACUACAC